CCUACGGGCGGCAGCAGUGGGGAAUAUUGGACAAUGGGGGCAACCCUGAUCCAGCCAUGCCGCGUGUGUGAAGAAGGCCCUCGGGUUGUAAAGCACUUUCAGUGAGGAAGAACGCCUGGUGGUUAAUACCCAUCAGGAAAGACAUCACUCACAGAAGAAGCACCGGCUAACUCCGUGCCAGCAGCCGCGGUAAUACGGAGGGUGCGAGCGUUAAUCGGAAUUACUGGGCGUAAAGCGCGCGUAGGUGGCUUGAUAAGCCGGUUGUGAAAGCCCCGGGCUCAACCUGGGAACGGCAUCCGGAACUGUUAAGCUAGAGUGCAGGAGAGGAAGGUAGAAUUCCCUGUGUAGCGGUGAAAUGCGUAGAGAUCGGGAGGAAUACCAGUGGCGAAGGCGGCCUUCUGGACUGACACUGACACUGAGGUGCGAAAGCGUGGGUAGCAAACAGGAUUAGAUACCCUAGUAGUC
Molecule: ribosomal RNA, 465 nt
Filed under: Vreelandella stevensii
Lineage: Bacteria; Pseudomonadati; Pseudomonadota; Gammaproteobacteria; Oceanospirillales; Halomonadaceae
Description: partial 16S ribosomal RNA
Rfam family: Bacterial small subunit ribosomal RNA
Source: RNAcentral